This 406-nucleotide ribosomal RNA is filed under the name uncultured bacterium. RNAcentral's name for it is "partial 16S ribosomal RNA". It matches the Rfam family "Bacterial small subunit ribosomal RNA", at positions 30 to 526 of the family's 1533-position model. The record is from RNAcentral.
AUUGAACGCUGGCGGCAGGCCUAACACAUGCAAGUCGCACGAGUGGCGGACGGGUGAGUAAUGUCUGGGAAAAUGCCUGAUGGAGGGGGAUAACUACUGGAAAAGGUAGCUAAUACCGCAUACCAUCAGAUGUGCGCAGAUGGGAUUAGCUUGUUGUUGGGGUAACGGCUCACCAAGGCGACGAUCCCUAGCUGGUCUGCGAGGAUUACCACCCACCCUGGAACUUAGCCACGGUCCAGACUCCUACGGGAGGCAGCAGUGGUGAAUAUUGCACAAUGUGCGCAAGCCUGAUGCAGCCAUGCCGCGUGUAUGAAGAAUGCCUUCGGGUUGUAAAGUACUUUCAGCGGGGAGGCGUUACCCGCAGAAGAAGCACCGGCUAACUCCGUGCCAGCAGCCGCGGUAAUUC